UGGCGGCAGGCUUAACACAUGCAAGUCGAACGCACUCUUCGGAGUGAGUGGCAGACGGGUGAGUAACGCGUGGGAAUCUACCCAUCUCUACGGGAUAGCUCCGGGAAACUGGAAUUAAUACCGUAUACGUCCUGAGGGAGAAAGAUUUAUCGGGGAUGGAUGAGCCCGCGUUGGAUUAGCUAGUUGGUGGGGUAAUGGCCUACCAAGGCGACGAUCCAUAGCUGGUCUAAGAGGAUGAUCAGCCACAUUGGGACUGAGACACGGCCCAAACUCCUACGGGAGGCAGCAGUGGGGAAUAUUGGACAAUGGGCGCAAGCCUGAUCCAGCCAUGCCGCGUGAGUGAUGAAGGCCCUAGGGUUGUAAAGCUCUUUCAGUGGGGACGAUAAUGACGGUACCCACAGAAGAAGCCCCGGCUAACUUCGUGCCAGCAGCCACGGUAAUACGAAGGGGGCUAGCGUUGUUCGGAAUUACUGGGCGUAAAGCGUACGUAGGCGGACAUUUAAGUCAGGGGUGAAAUCCCGGGGCUCAACCCCGGAACUGCCUUUGAUACUGGAUGUCUUGAGUCCGGAAGAGGUGAGUGGAAUUGCGAGUGUAGAGGUGAAAUUCGUAGAUAUUCGCAGGAACACCAGUGGCGAAGGCGGCUCACUGGUCCGGUACUGACGCUGAGGUACGAAAGCGUGGGGAGCAAACAGGAUUAGAUACCCUGGUAGUCCACGCCGUAAACGAUGGAAGCUAGCCGUCGGAGGAUUUAUCCUUCGGUGGCGCAGCUAAC
RNAcentral lists this ribosomal RNA (772 nucleotides) under uncultured bacterium. RNAcentral's name for it is "bacterial SSU rRNA". It matches the Rfam family "Bacterial small subunit ribosomal RNA", at positions 37 to 856 of the family's 1533-position model. The record is from RNAcentral.